AGUCUGCGUAUAAAUAAGACGACUUUACACUUUCUAAUUGCGUGUAAUGCAUACGCCAAAUGCCAAUUUUGCGUGCAUAUGAUACGCCAAUCCUUCACAUUAACUUCAGUGGAGAGCAGAUGCGUCCAAAUACCACGUGUCAUCUUCAGCGACAGUGACGUCACCAGCGAGGCUCAGUUCGUCCAGUUCACCUGAUGCGUGUACACCUUCAAACAGAAUUAACAGGGAACUUCAACUCGACGCUCCCAAUGCUGAUCUUGAAGAAGCUGUCAAGGAGGCUGAAGAAGUCCUUCAAAGCUGAAAGGGAAGACCAAAGGAAGGCCUGUCAUGGGAUUUGAAUUUGACCAUCUUGUGCGUUUAUGGAGAAGACCAAAAGCUGCAAAGGCAAACACUUCCAAUGGAUUUCUCACAGAUUACUUAGUCCUUCUCCAUCAGCUCUGCACAAUAUCAGCCCGUCCAAAAGUUUCCACAUCUCUCUCUCUCAUGUGGCACAUCUGCUCUCAGUCCUUUACUGCCAACUUCCAGUCUUAGCAUGUCUACUUGUAUUAAUUUCUCCUCUACAGUCAUCACUCCCAUCUCUACUAUAAGCACUCCUGUCACUAU
Sinocyclocheilus grahami is the source of this 603-nucleotide long non-coding RNA. RefSeq lists it as uncharacterized. The transcript is spliced from 4 exons. The record is from RefSeq and is a predicted model, not a curated record. NCBI's taxonomy places the organism in Eukaryota, Metazoa, Chordata, Actinopteri, Cypriniformes, Cyprinidae.